AACUAACUUUCAAUUGAAGCUACAUUUCAAGGCCCAGCAUUUACUAUCGUUUUGCGGCGUGCUUGAGCUUGUGCAUCUUUUCACGUUUAAUAAACAUUCCUUCUUGCAGACCACUGUCAGUUAUCUGGUACUUAUCUAAUGUACCGUCUGCCUCCACAACCAUUCUCCCUUUGACAAUUGAAGAACACCGCAGCCACAGGAGGUCCAAGAUUAUAAAGUGCUGAAAAGUCUCUAGUGUUGAAAUUUGGUCUCCAUCCCGGAGCAUAAACAGUUUGCUGGACAUAUUGGCGAAAAAGUACAAAGACUAAGCGAUGUAUUCCAGCAGUUGGCUUUGGGUUUUCAUAGCUGACAAUUUCAUUUCCUGUAAUAACAUUUGUGCAAACAUGUCAAAAUGUGUUAAUGGAAUGUUGCUCUCAUCUGUGGAAAUAUUGUGAGACAGCUGAAUAAAUCAAAUCUACUUUCAGUGGAAUUGGAUUGCAAAAUUUUUAUUGCAGCAGCAAUCCAAAGAAUCAUCAUCAGGGACAAGACAGCCAGCUUCUUACUAUUCAGUUAUUCAAGAUUCCUGUACUUCUCGACGGCAUAGUUUUUAUUCUAGUCAGCACCAUGUACACAAGAUGCAAGUCAGGUACAUGUGCCGACGCUAUCAAGCGAAACGGAAGUGCAGAGGUCCUUUUCAGUCCAUAAAGAAUAGCUUACAACUUACAGAAAGUUGAGAUUCUUGCUUUCAGUGCUCUUUAGCACUGAAAACAACUAAAGGCAAUGAACUCCAAAAGCAGAUGUUACAAAUAAGAGACUGUGCAGUAACUUCACAAAUAAGAGAUCCUGUAUAAUUAAGCAUAUAUGUUUUUUCAUUGACCCUAAAUACAUCCUGUUGAACUUAAGGUUUA
Panicum virgatum (switchgrass) is the source of this 887-nucleotide long non-coding RNA. RefSeq lists it as uncharacterized. The record is from RefSeq and is a predicted model, not a curated record. Lineage: Eukaryota; Viridiplantae; Streptophyta; Magnoliopsida; Poales; Poaceae. The transcript has 3 exons.